CUCAACACUAUAGCCUAUGCUUGGGUAGUCCUACAGUUGUCCAAUCGUCCAACAUCAGUUGAUUGACGCCAUUUCCGGUCACAACUUGCAGACUUGUUUACGUGUUGCUGUGCGUUUUGUUGCCAACCUUACUUUGCUACCUGACAACUUUACGGUUUUUACUUUUUAAUUACCGUUUAUAUUUUUGGUUUUCCCUCACUCAACUUUUUUUCCCUCAACUUUUUCACUCCGGACGCUUUAUCUGGACAUCGUUCGUCAGGACCUCCAACAGCUGAAGCUAAGUAGUAACAUUAACAUGAUGCCUUCUAAUUGCAGUCGCUGUACUCAUAACAUACAGGAGAACGAUCGCCUUACGGCGAGGAUAGCUGUGCUACAAGCCCAGCUUCAGACGCAAUCGUUAGGCAAGGGUAAUUUCAGUGUAGGAAAGGAUGAAACAGCGUUUGUGCCACCAGUAAGUACAGAUAGUAACGUUAGUAUAAAUCCCGCAGCCGGACAACAUUCUCACGGUUUCUGGAGGGAAAUGCUGUAGGAAUGCUCAACCGGUGUCACUCAUUCAACCUACAGAAACUUUCAACCGUUUUUCUCCAUUAAGCAAUGAGUCGGAGUCAGAGGCCGAGCCUUCUCUGGUCUCUCCUCCUCCCGUUACGGGGUCUGAGACGCUGAAGCUUCCCACCAUUAGCUCUGACAAAUUGAAAACUCUAGUCAUUGGCGACUCCAUUACCCACAGUAUUAGACUUAAAACACUGAAGUGGAUGGCGGGAAAUGUUUUACUUUUAAACUCGGAAUAAACAGAGAUGCUAGUUCUAGGUCCCAAGAAACAAAGAGAUCUUCUGUUGAAUCUGACAAUUAAUUUUGAUGGUUGUACAGUCGUCUCAAAUAAAACUGAAAGCCCUGGGGCAUUAAUCUGGACCCUGAUCUCUCUUUUGAUUAACAUAUCAAGACUGUUUCAAGGACAGCUUUUUUCCAUCUAUGUAACAUUGAAAAUCUGAAACUUUCUGUCCAAAAAUUAUGCAGAAAAAUGUAUCCAUGCUUUUGUCACUUCCAGGUUAGACUACUGCAACGCUCUACUUUCCGGCUACCUGGAUAAAGCACUUAAUACACUUCAGUUAGUGCUGAACAUGGCUGAUAGAAUCUUGACUAGAACCACAUUUUUUAAAUCAUAUUACUCCAGUGCUAGCCUCUCUACACUGGCAUCCUGUUAAGGCUAGGGCUUAUUUCAAAGUUUUACUGCUAACCUACAAAGCAUUACAUGGGUUACAUGGUUUUGCUCCUACGUAUCUUUCCGAUUUGGUUUAGCCAAUUUGGCCCUGCCGUAUAAACCUACACGUACGCUACAGUCACAAGCCUCCUCCUCCUUACUGUCCCUAGAAUUUCUAAGCAAACAGCUGGAGGCAGGGCUUUCUCCUAUAGAGCUCCAUUUUUAUGGAAUGGUCUGCCUAUCCAUGUUAGAGACGCAGACUCGGUCUCGACCUUUAAGUCUUUAUCGAAGACUCAUCUCUUCAGUAGGUCCUAUGAUUGAGUGUAGUCUGGCCCAGGAGUGUGAAGGUGAACGGAAAGGCUCUGGAGCAACGAACCGCCCUUGCUGUCUCUGACUGGCUGGUUCCCCUCUCUCCACUGGAAUUCUCUGCCUCAAACUCUAUUACAGGGGCUGAGUCACUGGUUUACUGGUGCUCUUGUAUGUCGUCCCUAGGAGGGGUGCGUCACUUGAGUGGGUUGACUCACUGACGUGAUCUUCCUAUCCGGUUGGUUGCCCCCCUUUGGGUUCGUGCCAUGGGGGAGAUUUUCGUGGGCUAUACUCGGCCUCGUCUCAGGAUGGACCUGAGCCCUAUGACCAUGCCUCAGGACUACCUGGUCUGAUGACUCCUUGCUGUCCUGUCCACCUGGUCGUGCUGCUGCUCCAGUUUAAACUGUUCUGCCUGCGGCUAUGGAACCCAGAACUGUUCACCGGAUGUGCUACCUUGUCCCAGACCUGCUGUUUUCAACUCUCUAGAGACAGCAGGAGCGGUAGAGAUACUCUGAAUGAUCGGCUAUGAAAAGCCAACUGACAUUUACUCCUGAGGUGCUGACCUGUUGCACCCUCUACAAUCACUGUGAAUAUUAUUAUUUGACCAUGCUGGUCAUCUAUGAACAUUUGAACAUCUUGGCCAUGUUCUGUUAUAAUCUCCACCCGGCAGAGCCAGAAGAGGACUGGCCACCCCUCAUAGCCUGGUUCCUCUCUAGGUUUCUUCCUAGGUUCCGGCCUUUCUAUGGAGUUUUUCCCAGCCACCGUGCUUCUACAUCUGCAUUGCUUACUGUUUGGGGUUUUAGGCUGGAUUUCUGUGCAGCACUUUGUGACAUCAGCUUAUGUUAGAAGGGCUUUAUGAAUACAUUUGAUUGAUAACUCUUCCUGGAAGCGAGCAUGGCUAAGAUCUCAUCCUGUGAUGUGAUCCUAAUGAUUAAUAGCCAUCUAUGUACUUUAUUGGGAUAUAUCAUAUCGUAAAAGCCUGAGGAUUGGUAUAUUGUCAGUGCCAACAGGAUCUGGCACAUACAAUCUGGUUUCAUGAUGGUUAUGAAAAUAAAAAGUCUUUACUUUUGCAAGCCCCCUCACCCUGA
Molecule: long non-coding RNA, 2592 nt
Organism: Oncorhynchus nerka (sockeye salmon)
Lineage: Eukaryota; Metazoa; Chordata; Actinopteri; Salmoniformes; Salmonidae
Exons: 2
Source: RefSeq, a predicted model, not a curated record